RNAcentral lists this ribosomal RNA (250 nucleotides) under uncultured bacterium. Its description in RNAcentral is "partial 16S ribosomal RNA". It matches the Rfam family "Bacterial small subunit ribosomal RNA", at positions 107 to 353 of the family's 1533-position model. The record is from RNAcentral.
UGGAGUAAUGUCUGGGAAACGUAGCCUGAUGGAGGGGGGAGUAACUACUGGAAACGGUAGCUAAUACCGCAUAACGUCGCAAGACCAAAGAGGGGGACCUUCGGGCCUCUUGCCAUCGGAUGUGCCCAGAUGGGAUUAGCUAGUAGGUGGGGUAACGGCUCACCUAGGCGACGAUCCCUAGCUGGUCUGAGAGGAUGAUCAGCCACACUGGGACUGAGACACGGCCCAGACUCCUACGGGAGACAGCAUG